Molecule: RNA transcript, 2948 nt
Organism: Cottoperca gobio
Lineage: Eukaryota; Metazoa; Chordata; Actinopteri; Perciformes; Bovichtidae
Gene: pfkfb3
Gene name: 6-phosphofructo-2-kinase/fructose-2,6-biphosphatase 3
Exons: 16
Source: RefSeq, a predicted model, not a curated record
UGUGUGUGGGUGUGUGUGUGUGUGUUCGUCACUGUGGUCACGUUGCUCCCGGCCGGACGGGCGGGGUUAAAUAGAGGCUGUGUGCCGCAGACCGGCAGAUUAGCCCGGCUCAGCUCAGAACAGUUCGCUUCGCUCCGAACAACCACCGGCUCUUCUGUGUCCCGUAGCUCACGGCCCGGUCCCCGUUUCUGUGAGGAAUGACCAGAGAGCUGACCCAGAACAGGAUCCAGAAGAUCUGGGAGCCCACCAAGGAUGACAGGCCGGCCCCCCGGAGAGCGGCUGGCGCCCCCCACUUUGCCAACCCCCCCACCGUCAUCGUGAUGGUAGGUCUUCCAGCUCGAGGCAAGACGUACAUGUCCAAGAAACUCACCCGCUACCUCAACUGGAUCGGCAUGCCCACCAAAGUCUUCAAUGUGGGAGAGUAUCGCAGAGAGGCAGUGAAGAACUACAGCUCCUACGACUUCUUCAAGCCUGAUAAUGAGUGUGCUGUUAAAAUCCGGCAACAAUGUGCCUUAGCAGCCUUGAGGGACGUCACGUCCUAUUUGAAGGACGAGGGAGGCCAAGUAGCGGUCUUCGACGCCACCAACACGACCCGAGACAGGCGAGAGUUGAUCCUGCAGUUCGGCAGUGAGAACGGCUUCAAGAUCUUUUUCAUCGAGUCAGUGUGCGACGAUCCCAGCGUCAUCGCGUCCAACAUCAUGGAAGUGAAGGUGUCCUGUCCAGACUACCGCGACUGCAACAAGACGGACGCAAUGUUGGAUUUCCAGAGGAGGAUUGAAUGCUACAAAACCAGCUACCAACCUCUGGACCCUGAUCAGUACGACAGGGAUCUCUCCUUCAUCAAGGUGAUAGACGUGGGUCGGCGUUUCCUCGUCAACCGGAUCCAGGACCACAUCCAAAGUAAGAUCGUCUAUUACCUGAUGAACAUCCACGUCCAGCCCCGCACCAUCUACCUGUGUCGGCACGGAGAGAGCACCGACAACCUGCAGGGCCGGCUGGGCGGGGACGCGGGCCUGUCGCCGCGGGGCAAACAGUUUGCCGCCGCCCUGGCUGGGUUUGUUCAGGAGCAGCAGCUGAAGGAUCUGAAGGUUUGGACCAGCCAGCUGUGUUGCAGCAUCCAGACCGCAGAGCACCUGGGAGUCCCGUACGAACAGUGGAAAGCUCUCAACGAGAUAGACGCUGGAAUGUGUGAAGAGAUGACGUAUGACGAGAUGAAGGAGAAAUACCCCGAGGAGUUUGCUUUGAGAGAUGAAGAUAAAUACUACUAUCGCUACCCUGCUGGCGAGUCCUACCAGGACCUGGUGCAGCGGGUGGAGCCGGUCAUCAUGGACCUGGAGAGGCAGGAGAACGUCCUGGUUAUCUGCCACCAGGCCAUCAUGCGCUGCCUGUUGGCCUACUUCCUGGAUAAGAGUGCAGAGGAGAUGCCGUACCUGAAGUGUCCCCUGCACACAGUGCUGAAGCUCACCCCGGUCGCCUACGGCUGCAAAGUGGAGUCCAUGUCUCUGAAUGUGGAGGCGGUGAACACCCACCGAGACCGGCCAGAGGAGGUGAAGAGGGGUCCUGGCACGUUGAUCAGGAGGAACAGCGUGACUCCUCUGACCAGCCCCGAGUCAAACAUCAAGAAACCUCGCAUCGAUGACCUGGACCAGGCUCCCAUCCACGAGCUGCCCCCAACCGGAGCCUCGCUGGCUCUCUGCAGCCCCUCACGCCUCCCUCUCUCCCUCUCACAGCACUGGCUGGGCAAAGUUUGUCUACGAACCGUCCUCCAGUAUCUGAAGGUGGUUUCACUCUUAGUCUUUCAAAGGUAAACACACUCGAGGCUUUGCACUGCUUCAUACUGUCGUUGUGCCAGCAGCCACAUCUGACACUAAUACCUUCAGAUCAACACACUCAGAGGACUGUGGCACAGAGAACUCUUUAUACAAAGAACCUGAGGAGAAGGUCGUUGGGCCUCCGUGACGUCCUGCAGCCAAUGAAGCUGCACUGAUGUGUCCCGCAGCUCAAGAUGAAGGCUCAGUGACACACGUGAAACUACGAGGAAGAGUUCAAGAGUACAGAGAGACACAAGUAACUGUACCUUUUAUCUGACAUGCUCCCUUCACUGCCAUUGUCAGACAUGUUCUAUCUGCGGCUGCAGAACGGCUCCCUAUAAACUUUGUACAGGUUUACUAUUGAGAGACAAAGACCCUCACAUGCAUCGUUCAGCCCAUCCUCUUUCCACUUCUGGUUGUUAGUUAAACUGCAUGUAGUUUACUUUGUAAACUCUUUUCAUAAUGUAUGCAGAAGAUUGGCUCCUUUUUGUAUGUAGAUUAUUUUGCACAUUGGGGAUAAGUUUGUACUUUUGCUUGUUUCUCAUGUCACGCUGUAUUUUCAUGCUGUGGAGGAGGUUUCUGCCGUCGUGCCUGUAGUGCUUGUUCUUCAAGCCUUACGUCGCUUCUCUUGCCGUUUCUCUGGAACAGAGAAGUGGUGACACAUUUCACCUAAUAACUCCUCAUAUCACAUUGUUUCUCAUUGUGUUUAACACUACAGUUUAUGCUGAUCAUUAACAGAGUUCUUGAUUUAAAUAUUUUCUUCUGCCGUCAUUGUCUGCUACGCACAAAUGUAAGCACCUAUAUUUGUGUUAAAAAUAUCUUUGUAAUUGUGUACAUACAGUAUAAAUGGAGAUGCACAGGAGAGUCUUUUAAUGAAGAUUUGUGUAGAAGUAUUUUUGUACUAAUGUUUAGAAAGACGCCGCUGCUCACCUCUCAGUAAAACCUUUGCUAACAUGUUUGCUCGAGAUACCUGAAAUUUGUUUUUUGUAAAAACUGUUUUCUUAUAUUCUUUAUUUAUUUCUGAUGUAGUUUUGGAUGCUUGGAACGAGAGGCACCUUGUUUAAUCUGGGAGCACAGUAUGUUGAACAGUUGAUUUUGCAUCAGUUGGACCAAUAAAAGAACUCCUGGAAACACACA